RNAcentral lists this transfer RNA (72 nucleotides) under Cavia porcellus (domestic guinea pig). It matches the Rfam family "tRNA". From Rfam's summary of the family: Transfer RNA (tRNA) molecules are approximately 80 nucleotides in length. Their secondary structure includes four short double-helical elements and three loops (D, anti-codon, and T loops). Further hydrogen bonds mediate the characteristic L-shaped molecular structure. tRNAs have two regions of fundamental functional importance: the anti-codon, which is responsible for specific mRNA codon recognition, and the 3' end, to which the tRNAs corresponding amino acid is attached (by aminoacyl-tRNA synthetases). tRNAs cope with the degeneracy of the genetic code in two manners: having more than one tRNA (with a specific anti-codon) for a particular amino acid; and 'wobble' base-pairing, i.e. permitting non-standard base-pairing at the 3rd anti-codon position. The record is from Rfam by way of RNAcentral. Lineage: Eukaryota; Metazoa; Chordata; Mammalia; Rodentia; Caviidae.
GGUAGUGUGGCUUAGCAGAAAAGCACUUGCCUAGCAAGUGCAAAGUCCUAGGUUUGAUCCCUAGCACUGCAA